AGGUUUCAGUGGUUACCUAUUGGUAUGAAAGCCGCUAGAAUUUCACGGUAUAAUAUUUUGAGAGGUUUCAGUGGUUAUGAUUUCAUAUUAUAAGUUCAAAGAUACAUAAAAUGAUCUAUAAACGACAUGAAUUAAUAUAAUGCAUUACUGAUUUUGAGUCAUAUGCCACGAAACUUAACAUGAUACAGAGUCGAAAUACAACUGUAAACCAAUUAUGCAUUAUCUCAUAAUAUUAAAGAGAAAUUGAUUGAAAGUAUCAAACAAUGCAUCAGGUGUCUGUUUAAGACCUCAAGAACUUGGUGAAAGUCAUAAACAGCUUGAACAUACAUAGUUGAAAAAUAUGGUGGUUUGCGAUGCAUAUAUCGUUCCAAUAUGAGUACUGUUGAUGUUUGAACAUUUGCAAUGUAUGAUUGCUUUUCUUUUUUGAAAAAAAAAAUAGUAAAAAUUCGAGUAAUUUGAUAAUUAAAUUAAUUUUUAUUACAUUUUUAUUAUAUUUUUAGUAUAAUUAUUUUUUGGUUUAAAAUUUUAUUUAUCAUAUUUUAAGUUUGAAAGUAUUAAAGGAAUUUGUGGUGGGUAUAUAUUUUUUUGUUUAAAUAGUGAGUAUAUAUGAAAGGGAACAUAUUAGAAAAAUGGAAAUAACAAUGUUCAACCUAUCAAUAUGGUGAGAGAGCGCCCUAUUGUUCUAUAUGCACCCCUAAUAUCUAGACGUCUAAAGUUUCCAAAUCUCUCUCUCUCUCCUCUCUCUCUCUCUCUCUCUCUCUCUCUCCACACCAGUCUCGAAAUGAGUACAUAGCAGAUCCAUAACUUUAACAGUCCGCCGAUAAGAAUGAUCCUAAAGCUCUUCUCGAAAGAUUCACCUUUGAACACUAGCAUCAUUAGUGAUGUGAUUAUAGACCAAGUUUACAAGGUUCUCGUGAUUGGAAAUUCUAAGGUUUCAACUUGGUAUAAAGUUGAAACCUUUAUUUGGUGACGAUUGAGAUUAUGGGAUAAAAUUGAAAAUUUCUUAAUUGAUGGUUCUUUAUGAGUUAUAAUGAUUUAUUGUCAAUGUUUUUCUUACACUUUUUUAUGUGAAUCAAUUACAAGAAUCAGUUAUGCUUCUUGUUCUACGGUACACUUAUGUGACUUCACUGAUCUACAUUAACAGGAGAAGUUUCGGGAAGAGCACUUAUAUGACCCAGACCUAGGCAAAACGAUGACUCUGAUGAAGCUAAAUGUUGACUAGUUUUGGUUGUUAUUAAGCUUUUUAAAGAUAACAUAACUACUAAUAUAUCAUUUAAUAUAAUACUAGAUUAGUGAUUAUUUCUGUGGUCCAAAAUAAAGGCGACGGCGAUGGCGAUAGUGAUAUUUUUUAGGGUUCUGAUGGAUUUUCGAAAUUUUGAUCCGGGGAAUCGAUGGGGAUCUGGAGAGUACGAUCGGAUUGGGCAUCUUUAUUCAUCGGGAAUCAAAGGGAUACGGAAGAUUCAUGGAGAUGCCGAAGGAAAAGAUCAAUUAAAUCUUAAGGAAGGUUUCAAGGGAAAAGAAAAGAUAGGAUUCACAGGAUAUUGAGCGAAGACGAGGGAUAGCUAUUGGAUCUGGUUGAGGGAUUUACGACUGAGGAGCUCUAUGAGUAUUGAUGUUAUGGAUCAAGUCUUACCCGAAGUGAGAUUAAGUACGAAGGAAUUGGAUUUUGGAGGGGGGGGGGGGGGGAGUUUCAAUUGGUUUAAUAAGCUCUAUGAGUAUUGAUGUUUUAAUUUGUUUCAAGGGUAGAAGGGAAGUAGUUACUGCAUUAUUAUGUUGGUGUGCUUUGAUAUGCUGGAAUAAUAAUGUUUCUUGGUUUGCACGGUGUCUUGGGUUGUUAAGGGUCACUGUUUUAAACGCUGGUGAUGGCUUUUACAUCUGGAAAUUAAAAAAUGGUCAUGUUGGGAGAGUCUUUGAUAUCAAUACGGAAUCAAUGGGACGUGGAAAAUGGAGGAGAGAGAUACACGUAACCAAAUCCGGAAUCUUGCUUCAGUUUGGGCAUGUGUGCAGACUCUCUUUUCUUAAUUGGCAGGAGCGGGAAAGGUUUGAGAAUCAGUGGGUGAAGUUCUAUAGGUUACAAAGAAGGCUCGAGGGAGGAGGUUCAUGGAGACUGGAGUACGUAAAGGAGAUCCAGUACAUAAGGGUUAUAUGGCAGUCAUUGCAUCAAAGUAGAGAGUUUAAUGUUGUGUAUGAAAUGGAAUCUGGAUUAGUUUUUUCUCUUGAUAAGGUGUGAUCAGUUUAUAAGAGGGUACAUAUUUCUUUUUGUUCUUGUGUUAUAAUUUUGUGGAGAGUAAGGUCAAUCAGGUCAAACAUGACUUUUGUAGUUGUAGACUUUGACGUGCAAACAUACAAGGAAGUGUGGUAUGUAUUAGGCAAUUGGUCAUAUUCAAAAACAUCUCUCUUUGAUUCUUCUGUGGAUUCUAUGGUAAAGUGUUGGUUUGAGGACAUGAGGAGGAAUCUCACUAUUGCUGAGUGGAAUGGAUUUUUCAAUAUGUUUAAUCCGGAGUUUAUUAAAAAUUAUUCCUCUAUGAUAAUGGAUUAUGAUUGGUAUUGUAUUAUUUCAUUGUUAACACAGGUUCCCUUCCGGCACUUUGGGAAGCCUUGGAGCUUUUUGAUAAUAUAAUAUAAUUUAAAAUUGGUUUGGAUUCGUGACUGCCAACUAUUUUGGAAAAAAUGGUACAAUGGUUUACAUCAGAUUGUUGAACUAGGAUGGUGUGGUUUUGUUUUACAUGGGUUUGGCGAAUACUUGGAUGCAGUUCUGAUAUGGUGGCUGUGGGGUUUUGAUGUUAAAACAUUUUCGGGUAUCAUUAAACCUGUAUGUUAUGGCUCGAUGGAGCAAUACAAAUAUUUUUAUAUAUGAAAAUAUUAAGUUGGAAUGUUAGAGGAUUCGGAAGUCAUUGUACCAUAAGUUAUCUCCGGGAGAUAUGACACAAACAUAAACCAGAUUUUUUAUUUUUA
Long non-coding RNA from Brassica napus (rape), 2955 nucleotides. RefSeq lists it as uncharacterized. The transcript has 2 exons. NCBI's taxonomy places the organism in Eukaryota, Viridiplantae, Streptophyta, Magnoliopsida, Brassicales, Brassicaceae. The record is from RefSeq and is a predicted model, not a curated record.